This 438-nucleotide ribosomal RNA is filed under the name Streptococcus mutans. Its description in RNAcentral is "bacterial SSU rRNA". It matches the Rfam family "Bacterial small subunit ribosomal RNA", at positions 28 to 448 of the family's 1533-position model. The record is from RNAcentral. Lineage: Bacteria; Bacillati; Bacillota; Bacilli; Lactobacillales; Streptococcaceae.
GACGAACGCUGGCGGCGUGCCUAAUACAUGCAAGUGGGACGCAAGGGAACACACUGUGCUUGCACACCGUGUUUUCUUGAGUCGCGAACGGGUGAGUAACGCGUAGGUAACCUGCCUAUUAGCGGGGGAUAACUAUUGGAAACGAUAGCUAAUACCGCAUAAUAUUAAUUAUUGCAUGAUAAUUGAUUGAAAGAUGCAAGCGCAUCACUAGUAGAUGGACCUGCGUUGUAUUAGCUAGCUGGUAAGGUAAGAGCUUACCAAGGCGACGAUACAUAGCCGACCUGAGAGGGUGAUCGGCCACACUGGGACUGAGACACGGCCCAGACUCCUACGGGAGGCAGCAGUAGGGAAUCUUCGGCAAUGGACGAAAGUCUGACCGAGCAACGCCGCGUGAGUGAAGAAGGUUUUCGGAUCGUAAAGCUCUGUUGUAAGUCAAGA